Molecule: ribosomal RNA, 253 nt
Filed under: uncultured bacterium
Lineage: Bacteria
Description: partial 16S ribosomal RNA
Rfam family: Bacterial small subunit ribosomal RNA
Source: RNAcentral
UACGUAGGGCGCAAGCGUUAUCCGGAAUUAUUGGGCGUAAAGAGCUCGUAGGCGGUCUGUCGCGUCGGCUGUGAAAACUCGGGGCUCAACUCCGAGCUUGCAGUCGAUACGGGCAGGCUAGAGUUCGGCAGGGGAGACUGGAAUUCCUGGUGUAGCGGUGAAAUGCGUAGAUAUCAGGAGGAACACCGGUGGCGAAGGCGGGUCUCUGGGCCGAUACUGACGCUGAGGAGCGAAAGCGUGGGGAGCGAACAGG